This 391-nucleotide long non-coding RNA is filed under the name Monodelphis domestica (gray short-tailed opossum). Its description in RNAcentral is "lncRNA (ENSMODG00000035209.2)". The record is from RNAcentral. Lineage: Eukaryota; Metazoa; Chordata; Mammalia; Didelphimorphia; Didelphidae.
AUGAUCUGGCCCCAGUCUGUCUUUGCAGACUCAAUUUACUUUUUAUGUACUCUUUAUUACAGCCAACUUGGACUCUUUCCCAUUCAUAGGGUCAUAGAUUUCCUAAAAAGACACUGUAGAAGCCAUCAAACCCAAACCCUUCAUGGUACAGAUCGGGAAGCUGAGAAACGCCCUGGACUACAAGUAGGUGACUUUAUGCCAGGCCCCGGCCGCAUUCCCUUCCACUCUUCUACAAGGACUUCUGACCCUGCCUAAUCUCGGCUUCCAGAGCUCCUGCCCCUUGAUGUGCAGGUGCACCAGCAGAAGCAGACAGGAAACAGUCACAGAAUACCUAUACAUGCCCUGAAUUGGAAGCAGGCUUCCCAAGACUCCCCAUGGAUAUACAUCAGAG